Molecule: unclassified non-coding RNA, 324 nt
Filed under: Hevea brasiliensis (rubber tree)
Lineage: Eukaryota; Viridiplantae; Streptophyta; Magnoliopsida; Malpighiales; Euphorbiaceae
Source: RNAcentral
CACAAUGAUAAUGCAAUUAGAAUUGCUCAAGAAUAUGCAGAAAGAAAGAUAGCUGAGCUUAAAUCAAAGCUUUGAGUAAGCAAUCAAACUAGUUUACAAGGAAGAUGUGCCUAUUUGCACAAAGCACCAGGUCCUCCAUGUAUAUGCCCAGACAUUUCAACAACUGAAAAGCUGAGUGUUUGGGUUUCGUUCUGGUGCAGCUUAUGUAUAGUAAAAUUUCACUCCUGUUCUUUGUUUUUCUUACAUUGAACAGCCAUAUUUAGUUAUCAAUGGCUUCACGGUUUAUUGUAUUUGUUAAUUUCAUAGAGAAUCGCUCAUGUUUAG